Myripristis murdjan (pinecone soldierfish) is the source of this 838-nucleotide long non-coding RNA. RefSeq lists it as uncharacterized. The transcript is spliced from 4 exons. The record is from RefSeq and is a predicted model, not a curated record. NCBI's taxonomy places the organism in Eukaryota, Metazoa, Chordata, Actinopteri, Holocentriformes, Holocentridae.
UGCAGGUAUUGGUUAACACUGAAGAUGGAAGGUCAAAACUGGAGAAAUUGACACAUCAAGCACAGGUGACGUCACACAUGACCAAGUACUAGGGCCUAGGACUUCUUCCUGCAUGGUGAGGCACUGAAACCCUGUGGCAUAUCACCUACUCCAUAUGCAGUGUACUUGGAGCCAGUGUGCUGGGACAUUAUGAUGGACCCUCUUUUGGUUCUCCAAGAAGUGUCACAGAGGAGCCCAGGCAGAUGGAGGAUGAUAACUUCCCAGUGUCAAGUCUCCAUGGGCGCAAAACCACAGCAUGGUCAUGAGUGGAAAGAUGCUACAUCGGCUUUGUUUUAAAUUGACAGAUUAGUCACCGGAGUUUGAAGGACUGACAUAAACAUAUGAUGGUCUUUGUACCAACUGUUUGAAGUAACUCCCAUUAAAGUAUUUUGAGCUGAAAAUUGUUGUAGUACAAUUUUUGUAAUGCCAUUCAUUUGGUCAACAUUAAAUCCCUGGAUGUAUUAAGAGAUUUGAGUACUAAUGUGUCUGUGUCCUAUAUAUUUUGCUAAACCUGCCUCAGUUUUGCCCUCUAGUGGCUAAAAUGAGCAGCUAGUGUUCAGUUUGAGGUGGCUUUUUUUUUUUUUUUUUUUUAAAGUCAACUCUCUAAAAGUACACCAACACCCCACCCUUUCAUCCAACGGUAACAAAACAAACCACCCACACCAAAGUUGUAUGUUUUAAAAUUAAAUAUUUGGAGAAGCUUAGACUGGUAGCAAAAUAAACUCGUGAAGGUGCCCAAAGACAAAAUGUUUUAAAUCCAGUCAUCUGACAAAUGGACAAUAAAGCCUUGCAACAACUU